UUUUUUUUUUUUUUUUCCCCCCAGUGGUGAGUCCCUUCAAUCCUCAGAAUGGCAGCCAAAAAGGAAGAGUUUGGAAUAGACCUCCUUUCCCUUGUUAAAAAUAAUACCAGUAUAACAGUCAGUGUAAUGUCUACAAGUGACUGGGAGGAAUUUCUGUAGGCUCUAAAGUCUUCCAAAUUCAAGGUCUAGGCUACUUUCUAAGGUUUCUAGUUUUAUGUGGAAACCUUAUAGAUAUAUUUGGAUACAAUUUUGAAUUACACCAAAUGAUCCUCUUUUACCUUACAUGAGUUAAUGUCUAUAAAUCAAUUAGCACAGUGUCUAUCACUGGUAAGUGCUCAAUAAAUAUUAGCCAUUAACAUUACGCCAUUUCAUUUUCACUGAACUCCCUGUAAAUAAAGUUGAGGAAACGGUGACUCACAGUUAUUAAAAGUACUUGCCUGGAUCACACAUUUAGAUGUGACAUCACUCAAUUUUCACUCUGGUAUCGAAGUUUUUCCCACCACUAGAUAUGUAUAAGUCAAGGGCUAUGUAUUUAAAUGGAGAAAUUCAUUCAUCUCUAAUUGAAUUUAAGCAUUUCCUUGAUUUAUAACUACAAACAACAAAUCAUCAGUGUUAGCUAUUCCUUUGACUUUAUCACCAAUAGAAAUAAAAAUGUUUUUAUCAUAUUAAAGAUGCAACAUAUAUCCUGAGAUAUCAUUGAUGCCGUGCAUUUUCAAAUUGCGCUAGCUAGCAAAUCUGCUGCUUAAACUUAUUAUUGAAACACUAAUACAUAUUUAUAAUUUUUCCAAUAGAAUUAGUUCUUUGUAACCCUAGGUAUUUAUCUUAUGCCCUUAAAGUGUUAUUUUGAGAAAGGAGUCCAUUGGCUAAUGGUAUAAAAACAGUAAAGGACCCCUGCUAAGCUAGUCUGGGAUUCUACGACCUUCUUAUCCUAUUCUAUAUUUUUAACUACAUUUCAUAAGGGACGUAUCAUUGUGGGAUGAAUGUUCUCAACAUCUCAUUCAAAGGAAAUUUGAGACAUCCACACCUGAUAGUAGUUGGCACUGGAUUCAGUGAAUUCUUCAGCUGGCAGAAUAACCAGAUGGAUUUUAAUUGCUCAGCGAAGGCGUAAUUUUCCCCAAGAAAUCCCACACAUGCCAAUGCAGCCGUAUGAGCUAGUCGCAAGGCCUCCUCCUUUGUCAGCCUUUUCAGCCUGCUGCAAACAGUGCUUUUCAAAGGGAUCCUGUGACAGCAUCAAGAGAAAUGUAGUAAAUGUCUUUGUGCGAUUGGGGUAGAAGUGAAAUAAAUAGCCAGCGCUCCAGGGAAAAGCCACAGACAAUGCUCUCCCGCAGCUCAGUGUGCUUAUCAGUACACACACAGCCCUUCUGCCGAAUAGAUUGUGCUAAAUCUAAUCUGACGCCUCCCUCUGGGGAGAUGGGGGAGAAUGUGGAGAUGAUCAGAGGGUUGAUGGAUUGGGAUAUAUUCCAUCUUCCUUUCGAAUGGCAACAUUUCCCUUCAACACAGCCCUGGUGUGCUUUAGGGACCUUGCAUUUGGAGUGAUUUUUGAUGUCCUGAUAAGGAAAACCUAGCUUUUCAGAUUCUUUAAACUUUAGGAUACGUGAAGAGGACUGAUACAUAGAAAAUAUUGAAAAACAUUGAACCACAUCAAUAUCAAACAGAAAGGGACCUAUAACAGUUAUCUUUUCCAUCAUCCAAGACUUAAUUUGUCUUCACCUCUCCUUCUUUUCUUUUCCUUCUCUCUCUCUCUCUUUUUUUUCUUUCUAGGGCCGUGCCUGUAGCAUAUGGAGGUUCCCAGACUAGGGGUCAGAGCUACAGCUGCCGCCUACACCACAGUCACAAGAACUUGAGACUGAGUGCAUAUACAACCUACACUACAGGUUACAGCAGUGUCAGAUCCCUGACCCACUGAGCAAGGCCAGGGAUCCAACCCACCUCCUCAUGGAUACUCGUUGGAUUAGUUUCUGCUGUGCCACAACGGAAACUCCCUGGCCACUCUUUAUUUCCAUUUUUCUUAUGAAGAAAUGGAGUCUCAGAAUGGUUAAAUAACUUAAGGCCACAUAAUUAUGAGGAAACAGAGCAUGCCUCAAAUAUUCAUUUAUUUCAUCCAUUUCUAAAUUUUCAUCUGUCUAUUACUUACCUUUCCAGGUUAUACCUGAACUAAGUUUUCAGAAAAGGGAAAAAUAUAUAUUUGGGGUGCAAUUUUGGGAUGUUUCUUGAAGUAGACCUUAUAGAGAGGAGUCAGAGUUCAUCAAUAAGAGUAAAGAGAUUUUUAAAAAGAGAGCAAUACUUCUAGAAGCACUUCUUAGCAACCACAAAAUGAAGAAAUGUUUCUCAUUUUAACCUUAAAGCAAGUAUUCUACUUGGCUUAUAACUUUAUGUUCAUAUCUCAAUCAAAUUAAAUUGGUUUUUCGAAAUAGCAAUUUGGAGAAAUAUCAGGUCCAUUGGGAUCAAGUGAAAAACAGAUGUGAUAUAACAUGCAUUUUUUUCACAUGCCCCCAAGGGUUGUGACAUUUCCAAUUUUGUGACACUCUAGGGUAAGGAAAACAUAUCUCUUAGCAUGAAACUGAAGCUGUCAGUCCCAUAGUUUCGUUACUGGAGUGAGCUUCUUUAGGUAAGUGGAGAGCUUCACUGAAUAUCUUGUGUGGAAAUUUGCAAAGCUUGGACCUUUUUUACAAUUGAUCAUUUACAACAGCCAGUUAUUUUCCUACUUGGGAAACAGCUGGAUUUUAAAAAUAUUGCAACAUUAACUCACUUACUUACCCAUACCUACCAGUAUAAAUAAUGUUAUGCUGUCAGAGAUUUGGCGUAACAAAUCCUAUUUCAGUUUUUCCUUAGAUAUAGGUAUUAAUAAAAUAGAAUGCUACAAGAUAUCCAGAUCAUCUCUCUCACAGGACUGGAAUAACAUUAAUUUACUCAUUCAUUAAAAAGAAAAUUAUUAAGUGACCCCUGGAUAAGACACUGUGAAGGUCAGAGUGAGGCUUCCAUAAAUCUUUUAAUAUAAACUAUUCAUCUUUCAGUCUGUGUUGGUUUAUUUGUUUUAGCCAUGUCCAGUAAACACCAGACAUACUAAUUCCAUACUGAGCCCCUGUCAUUUGGGGGACUCUGUGCAGUUCAGGUACUAAUUAACAUUAGGCUGUAGCUGUAAGAAAUGAAGAGCAAGGUGUUUAAAACAAUUAUAUGUAUUCUUUCGCUACUUACACUGAUGGCAAUGGCAGUAAUAAUUACUUAUUAGAAUUAAUAUUGUCCCUGGUUCCUGCUUGAAAGCAUAUUCUCCUUCCCCAGCCAAAUACCAGAGUAACCAUAACAUGUAUUCUGCAGGCAUAAUAAACCAGAUACGAGCAGCUCAGUGACUGCUCCAAGCUGUCAGAAGGGCAUUGAAAGACUUUUAUUUUUUCCAUAGAAAAGAAAUAAGUGGAUAGGGAUUGCCCUUCUAUUCCACCUGGACAUCUGAGUCUACCUUGGGAAGAAACUAAAUGCCUUAUUAUCCAGGGCAUUACAAUGACUCAGAAGUUUCUUCUCAACUAUCUCUCUCUGGAGGAUGUGAUAACUGACCUUUUUUUUUUUUUAAGUCAUACACAAAAAAUAAAUGUCUAAAUUUGAAUCAUUUCUAUUUUUCACUCUAUCUAUGCCAGGUAAUAUGAAAGAUUGGUAUUCAAUAUAGGUUACCUAAUUUAAUUAUCACAGUAAUGCUAUCAAAGAGCUAUCCAUUUGAGUUCCAUUUUAUGAAUGAGGAAACUAAUGUUUAUUUGAAGUUAUGUGACUUGUUCAAACUUAAACUCCAAAGCUUGGGUGGCCCUUUUACGUUAACAGAAUUAACACGAUCCUUAUUGGAGAAAUGUAUCCUAAAUUUAGAAAGCAUUUCAUGUUAGAUCUUCUCUCCUUAGCCUGUACCCUCUUGUGAAUAGUUUUAGAGCUCUUAUAAUAACUGCAUUUGUCUCCUAGACUCUCUCCCCACCCCUGCCUGUCUUACUUCAGUUACAGUCACAGGUUGGCUACUCAAGUCUCAAUUCCCUACAUCUGGCAAAUGUUCUGUCUCUUUUUCAGGGGAUAGCUUGAAAUCCAAAUACUUAGAAGCCUUUAAAAGGGCCUUCUUUGCUCUUUGUUUAAAGCAGGAGUCAGGAACAUUUUCGUCAAAAGACCAGAGUGUAAAUAUUUUAGGAUUUGCUUGCCAGUUAUUAUUUUGUUGUUGUUUUUACAAACCUUAUAAAAUGUAUAAAUCUAUUCCAAGAUCAUUGGCCAUAUAAAACCGAGUCAUCAUUUGACAAAUGCUUCUAGAACUAUUUAGUGUUCUUAAAUGCCUUUAACCUACUUGUGCAAGAAAUUUUUGUUUAUCUACUUUAGCCCAAAGAAAACCACAAGUUUUAUUGCAGGUCCGCAUAUAACAGUAAUAAAGAUAAUAAUAAAAUUUCACUCAGUGAUUAAAUUCUUCCUUAGUAGAUUAUAAAUGGGGUUUACAGGAGUUCCUGUCAUAGCUCAGCAGUAAGGAACCCAACUAGUAUCCAUGAGGAUGCAGGUUCAAUCCCUGGCCUCACUCAGUGGGUCAGGAAUCUGGCGUUGCCAUGAGCUAUGGUGUAGGUCACAGACAUGGCUCAGAAACUGCAUUGCUGUGGCUGUGGCAUAAGCCAGCAUCUGCAGCUCUGAUUCAACCCCUAGCCUGGGAUCUUCCAUAUGCUGUGGGUGUGGCCCUAAAAAAUUAAAAAAAAAAAAAGGCAAUAAAGGGGGUUUAAGCCAGAACCCCAGAUAUCUCCUCCUUUUUAAACCUCUUGCAUUUAGCGAGAACCGUUUGGUGCCUCCUUUGACAUCUCUCCAUUCUCACCAUCCACCACCAAAAGUCCCUCUUCUGUUGAAAGGCAUCUUACAGCCUCUUCUCCCCUCUCUCUGGAUGCUUGUAGAUUAGUGUAAUUGCAUUCCCUUCAUAUUUCUUUUCAGAUUCAGAGUCUUUCCUUCCAAACCCAUUGUGUAAAUGCACAUCACAAAGUUCCUUAAGAACCGGGCAGAAAAGGAAACAUUCUUUUCAGGGUAAUGAGAAAGACUAAAUUGCUGAUCAUGGUGUGCCUCAUCAGGCUAGAGGGGGAAAGGGACCGAGGACACGGGACAUGUGAAUUCACUAGCACUAUUGAAUUUGGUUUUGCCACACAAGCAAUUAUAAAAUAAUCUGUCUUUAACUGUAUAUGAUAUCUCUCUAUACAUGCACUUUUAAAAUAUGGAGACCAUAUAGUAAAGACAAAAAAAAGAGAUAAAAUGUUGUCCAGAUAAAGCUCUGGGAGAAGAUGGUACGGUGGAAAGGGGAUCUCUGAGAUUAAAGAGGUCUAGAUUUGAGUUCUGUCGUAUCAACUAAACAGCCAGCUCGGCUUGGAUAAGUUCUUCUCUUCCCUGAACUUCAAUACGCCGUCUGUAAAACAAUAACGUUGAAGUAGAUGGACUUCAUUUUCCCCACUAUCUUAUUAUCCUAUCAAAAACAGAAGAAAUGCCUUCUUUCCUUGUCAUUUAGAAUACUGGAGAUCUGGAGUUCCCUUCAUGGCUCAGUGAUUAAUGACCCCAACUAGGAUUCAUGAGGAUGUGGGUUCAGUCCCUGGGCUUGCUCAGUGGAUUAAGGGUCUGGCAUUGCCAUGAGCUGUGGUCGUAGGUUGCAGAAGUGGCUCAGAUCCCGCAUUGCUGUGGCUGUGGCGUAGUCUGGCAGCUGUAGCUUUGAUUAGACCCCUAGUCUGGAAACUUCCAUAUGCUGUGGGUGUGGCCCUAAAAAGCAAAAUCAAUUAAUUAAUUAAGUAAGUAAAUAGAAUAUUGGAGAUACCCUUAAAAAAAAGAAUAGUCAAUUUUAUCAAUAAAUGUGAAACAGCAAGUUCUUCCUGAAUUUCUAUGUACAUGCACAAUAUUGUGUUUCAAUUGCUGAAAAAAUUUACAAUUGUUAAUGGAACAACUUUUCACGGGAGGUGAGGGAUUUGUUAUUAUUGGAGCCACUCAAGGCAAGUCUAGACAUGGCUAUGAUAGAGUCUGUAGAAUUAUGUGAACUCACAUCUGAGAGCUCCAUGUGGGAUGGGUAAGAUGCCCUGAGGCAUGUCUGCCAGUUUGCCUUUCAUAUCUAAGAGCACAUUUCAGUUUUUGCAUGGGCAGUUCUCUCUCCUUCAGUAGUUUGGCCUGGAGAUGGCAUUGACUUCCUUUGCUAUUUCACUUCUGAAAAUAUCAGUCAAACCAAAUAAAAACUAAUUAAGUUGGUUUUUAAAAAAAUGAGAUUGGAUUUUCUUGAUGGUUGAUGCUAUAUCCAUUUACUUAACAAGUGACUUUACCUGUUUGUCAUUUAACAAAUAUAUCUUGGUAUUUUCUCUGUCUUAGAGUAACAAAGAUGAAUAAAGACAAUCACUUGUCUAUCAUGCCAAGAAGGGCAUGGUUUUUGUCUAAUUAUUCUAACUCCUCAUCACAAUAACUGGUAUAUAGUAGUACUCAGAACAAACUUUUGAUUUUGCUUGCCUUGAACUAUUAUGAGAUGGAAAAACUAGGCUAAUAAUUGCAAUUAAUCCUAAUGCUGUGAGUUGCUGUGAGAUAUGAGCAAAGAGAAAAUAAUAUUCAGGAUAUAGAAAUAGUUCAGAGGAGCAGAUGGCUAAUUCAGUCUGGACAGAAGGCAAUAACGUAAACUUCAAAGAUGAAGUAAUGAUCAGAGAAGGACUUUGAACAAUUGAUAGAUGUUUUAAUGGUGAACAAGCAGAGGAGAUCAUUCUAUACACAUGAAAGGGCAGUGAGGUCAGUGACCAGGUUGUCUGAUGGGAUUUGGAAGAGCAGCAAGCUUGGGAGUGGCUGUGUAAGAGGCUGGAGAAACAGAUAGGUCAAUGCCAAGUCUUAUUCUAACAGCCGGGAUAAGGAGGGGAAGAGCAUGAUCAGUCUUUAUGCUAAAGAGAUCCUGUUGUCUGUAAAAUGAGAGAUUCCCUAGAGCUGGAGCAGCAAGAUUCAGGUAAGCGAGUUAGGAUGCUCCUGAAAUAGAUCAAAUGAGGUAUGAUAAGACCCAGAAUUAACACAGUGUAAGUGGUAAUAGAGACAUGAGAAAAGUGAGAUAUUUAGAAUCAACGCAAAUUUCUAUAUUUCUAGAAUUGUUUUAUAAGUUAUAUACAGAUGUGAGAGGAAAGAUAUGUAGGUUCAUAUCUUGUCGAAUUGUUAAAAAAAGCUCCACCCUCGAAUUUCCUGUAUGGAAUUUUGAGGACCCCUUGCUGGAAGGUUUGGGGACCAUAGAGUGUGCUUUAAGUACUUGGUUCUCUCGGUUAACAGGGAACUGCGGGAGGUUUGGAAGCAGGUAAGUAGUAGGAUCAGAACUGUAUUUUCAAAAGAGAAGUUAGUUACAGGCAUUAAAAUCAGAUGGGGGAAUGGUGUUGGAAUUAGUUUCUUCAAGUUUGUCUCCAUCAACUUAGACCAGGUUAAUGGAAAACCAUAAAUAUUUAAUGUGAGGUAAAAUUCAAGUAUAUGCUCUCUAACUAAUUACUUAUUCAGUCAUGACAUACUUAAAGAAUCUCUAACCUAAAAAUAGGAUGCCCCAGGGCUUCCUUGGCAGGGGAAAUUCCUUCUAUUCCACAGAUACCUAAUGGCCAUACACUAAAAGUCCAUGGCUGCUAGUGUGGGGAGUGUUGUCUUCUGCAGAUUCAUACAGGAUUUAUUCAGGAAGAGAGGAAGUUAAUUUUAAAAUCAUGGUAAAGGAUAUAUUACUAUGUAAAUAAGAGAAGAACAGGAACAAAAAGAGGCAGAAACAGAUUUGAACCUGUCUGCUAAGUGUUGAGUGGCUUAAUGAUAUUUCCUUCUCUGCAAUGAUAAACAAGAAAAAGCAAAUGAGGAAAACUUAUUAUGCCAAUUAUGACUACAUUCAUUCAACUCAUUGAUAUGCAUUUAAACAUAGAGGAGUUAAAAGAUAAUUAUCUAACUUAUAAAAAGUAUUACACUAGGAAAGUGAUGAAGUUUAAAGUAUUUCAGAAAAGAUAAGGAAGACUUUGGGGCUGAUUGCUAAUACUAUCUCGUAAAACAUCAACAUCUAUUCUAGGAUCCUGUACUCUGUCAUUGUACCAAUCACUUAAGGGAAAUUCAUUUAUAAUAGAAAUAUAUUUCAUCAAUUUUAAUACCAAUUCCUUUGAGACUGAAUUAGUUGUUCGCCAUCUGUGAAUCCCACAGGUUUUCAUUUGAUGAAUUUGUUGUCAGAAGUAGAAGGGUUGCAAAAAUGAAAUGUACCUGAAAUUCAUAUGAUGCAUUAGGACUUGUAAGUCUUUGGACUACUUACCUAUAUACUUUGGACUCAAA
RNAcentral lists this long non-coding RNA (8265 nucleotides) under Sus scrofa (pig). RNAcentral's name for it is "lncRNA (ENSSSCG00000061050.1)". Lineage: Eukaryota; Metazoa; Chordata; Mammalia; Artiodactyla; Suidae. The record is from RNAcentral.